Molecule: ribosomal RNA, 427 nt
Filed under: uncultured bacterium
Lineage: Bacteria
Description: bacterial SSU rRNA
Rfam family: Bacterial small subunit ribosomal RNA
Source: RNAcentral
UACUCGGUUGCGUGAUUGAGCGGAAAGCGCGGACGGGUGAGUAACGCGUAGGCAACCUGCCCCUUGCAGAGGGAUAGCCUCGGGAACCGGGAUUAAACCUCAUACGCAUCAUGGAGACAUCUUCGAGAUGCCAAAGAUUUAUCGGCAAGGGAUGGGCCUGCGUCUGAUUAGUUAGUUGUGGGGUAACGGCCUACCAAGGCAGCGAUCAGUAGCCGACCUGAGAGGGUGAUCGGCCACAUUGGAACUGAGACACGGUCCAAACUCCUACGGGAGGCAGCAGUGGGGAAUAUUGCACAAUGGGCGAAAGCCUGAAUGCAGCAACGCCGCGUGAAGGAUGAAGGCCCUUGGGUCGUAAACUUCUGUUCUAAGGGAAGAUAAUGACGGUACCUUAGGAGCAAGUCCCGGCUAACUACGUGCCAGCCGCUGC